RNAcentral lists this ribosomal RNA (595 nucleotides) under Hemerophis socotrae. RNAcentral's name for it is "partial 12S ribosomal RNA". Lineage: Eukaryota; Metazoa; Chordata; Lepidosauria; Squamata; Colubridae. The record is from RNAcentral.
AAAAUAAUAUAAACGGCGUAAAGCACGACUAAAACAAAGUUAUAGCACUAGAGAAUGAAACAAAACUAGGCUGUAAAAAGCCAUAAGAUACAAUAAACACAUCUAGUAUAAACAAAUUCCACUCGUGAAAGCCAGGACACAAACUAAGAUUAGAUACCUUACUAUGCCCGGCUGUAACAUACAAUUAAAUUACCAAUUGUCCGCCAAAUAACUACGAGUGAAAACUUAAAAUUUAAAAGACUUGACGGUACUCCACAACAACCUAGAGGAGCCUGUCCAUAACCGAUACCCCACGAUUAACCCAACCCCAGCUAGCCUAAACAGUCUAUAUACCGCCGUCGCCAGCCUACCUUAUGAAAGAAACAAAGUAGACCAAACAGUCACACACUAAUAAGACAGGUCGAGGUGUAACUUAUGCAGGGGUAAAGAUGGGCUACAUUUUCUAAUAUAGAAAAUCUAACGGAUUAACCAUGAAAAAGAAAAUGAAGGCGGAUUUAGCAGUAUACCAGGAAUAAAAUACCUAGUCGAAACUAAUGCAAUGGAGUGCGUACACACCGCCCGUCAUCCCUGUUGACAGACAAAAAAAAUUCAUAAA